Molecule: long non-coding RNA, 6233 nt
Organism: Betta splendens (Siamese fighting fish)
Lineage: Eukaryota; Metazoa; Chordata; Actinopteri; Anabantiformes; Osphronemidae
Exons: 5
Source: RefSeq, a predicted model, not a curated record
CUAUAUUGUUCAGUUCCUUGUUCCUGUUACUCCCACUCAUACACAUUACAUGCUCUGUAUUUGUAUAACUGCCCACUGCAGCUGUCGAGAAAUGUGAAUGAUGCAUAGCCGUGUAUUAUAAUAUGACGUGUGUAUGGGCAUGUGCUGCAUGGCGGUGUUGCAUCACUGCACAGCUUAAUAAAAGAUUCACACGGUAUCUGUUUAGAUCAGCAGGUCGACACAUUUCACACCGCGCUCUUUGACAGGACAAUGAAUAAUGCAUGUUGUGUCAUUCUUUUUAAUGACUUGCUUGUUCAGUCCUACGCCCACAGACUAGAGGAAACUGUCCCAUCACUGCUGAAUGACUGAUUCAUCCAGUUUGGCUGCUCUUGUGUAACAGCGAGGUGGUAUUUCAUCUUUGUUCCAGUGUACCAAAUACCGAAUCAGUCAAGAGUCUACCAACAUCUUUCCAACCAGCUCAAACACGCCUGGCAUGGUGGUUGUUUAUCAGCGAGACGCUAACAAACCAACAAUACACACAGGCUCCGCUAUGUGAAUCCAAAGCCUCUAAUAACAGCUCGCUUUGCCAACACUGCGGGACCCGGACCCCCUCCGCUCAUGUUCCUACGGUAACACAUUCGCUCGCACACACGCAGCACCAGCUGAGGGGAACAGGGACGCUGAUGGAGUAUUUACAUCUGACGCCUUUUUUUCACUGCUCAUUGUUUCAGGCCGGGUCUGGAACCCGGAGCCAUAUUUAUGUGUGACUGUAGGAACACGAUGCCUCAUUAGACCUUUACUGCCCUGGCUCGCCGCGGCCCCAUUCAAACACAACAGCCCGUCUUAUUAUGUCCGUCUCUCGCCCACCUGACCGCUCGGUGCAGAGCCCUGGCAGCCGUAGUCAAGCUGUUCGGCAUCACGGGUGACCGGGACCUUUUGUACAUUGUAACAUCUGCACUGGCUGCUGGUGACAAGGUCUGAGCUCUGAUCUCUCCCAAAACCGGGCCCACGUUUAUGUGGCUCAGCAGCCUCCGUGAACCCUCGCUGCUGCUCUUAUGUCUCCUGCCUUUUUCUUCUCUCACCCAUAGACGAAGUAUAUAGAAAAGCACUGCUUCAGUGACCUUACUUUAAAUUACUGCACAUUUCCCCCCAUUAUUAUUUCCCCUCUGACCGCCUCCGUGCUGUAUAUUCCCCCUGGGUUUGCAGGUUUUUAUUUUGCUCUGGCUUUUUCACCUCUCCCCCUUCGCGGGCUUCCUGUCUGGAAGGAGCUGCCUCUGCUCCCCCCUCCCGUCCAAGGGCGCCUCUCAUCUUCCUUUUGAAUAUUUCCUCUCCCACACGUGUCGUGAGUGUCGCACACACGCACCCUCCUCCUCCUCGCAUCCCUCUAUCGCCCCCGCCUGCACAGCUAAAGCUGUCUGGCUCCCCACACGCACAGAGCAUCCUGGCACGGAGGGAAGAAGCGAAGCAAGUGAGGAAACAAAUGGAAACGGUGCCUGAUCAUGAAGGCCAUCGGAUGCAGACGGUAUUUCGCUUAAGUCCACUUACUCUCCAAUCACCUCGUCAUAUUCCGCUAUUACAUUAUUUACAAGCUAGGACCUGACUAUCGCUCCAGUGUUAGUAGCUGUGAAGUGCCACAGAUAUAAUAGCGGUAGUUGAAAACACAAUGCUCAGAGUCCAUUAAUUAUCUCUGAUGUCAACAGAUUUAGUUGAUAUUCAGAUCACAAACAGCAGCAACUGUAGGGAGCGCGAGGGUGUGGGCGUGUGGUGACGGCGGUGGCAGCAAUAACUGCAUCCUCUGUUUGAUUACUGGGGCCAACUAUUGAAGUAGCCCAUUGACUUUUACCAGGCAAUCCACCCGGAACGCGUGAGUGCAGCAUUAAUAUGAGACACGGCCGCAGCAGCGUGAUGUGGCAGCGAAUUGCCGUCAGUUCUUCAACUCAACGUCCACGGACACAGGCUCAUUAGGCAGUUUUUUUUUUUUCCUCCGCGCCGCGUGGAACCUUUAGGAGACAGCUGAGAUGGAACAAAGAGCGCCCAUUUGUCAGGAGCACACGUUACGGCGCUGACCUACAUCCAGACCCCGGAGCUGUCAGCGGGCAGCGAGCUGUCGGCCGAACUCAUCGCAGCCCUCGGUUUGAAGUAAAGCUUCCACUUCCCAGUCACUUAGUCCAGGUUAAUUCACUCGCUGCUAGAAACGACUGUGAAGGGAAUGAAGGAACUGUAGCUCAGCGAGGUUCGGUCACAACGAGCUUUAUACGCGCUGAACGUUUUUAAUUGUUAUGAUCAGCUUUUUUCUUGUCUUGGCACGUGUCCGUGGGUUCCUCAAGCCUAAAUGUCGCCUCUUUCUAUCAGAAACAAGAAACCCGACGUGACGCUGUGAGACAUUUCCACACACUUCAACGUAACAAAAGAUUGCGGCCGCAUUAGCACAAUUACAUAAUUAUGGGAGCGCGUCCUGGUGUUGAAGUCAAACCAGUGAACUCCUUUCCACUCCGGCUCGUGCAUUAUUAGCCGCACACGGCGGCGCCGCUUUCCCAUGGACCCGCGCUCGCUCUCAGCCGCCCGUCACCCCGCGUUCAGCUCAAGCCCGUGAUUAAUGAGUCAUCGAGUCCAAGGGGCCAUCUCUGCCUGUGUCAACGCAACCGGCCGCGUGCGCCCGUGCUCCUGGAGCUCCAUCACUGUCCGCGUCUGCGCCGGCUGCACAGGCUCAACUCCACAGUCCAGAGGAAUGACCCGUCUGCAGCGGAAGUCCCGACCAAUUACCAAGUUGCAGCGGGUUGUUAGAGGAACACACCACUCCCACAGGCGAAGACCCAAAUUAAUAACAUCAAGCAUGGAAACUGAAGAGGACGGUCUAUCCAUCUCACUUCCUUCUAUCUGGUAAUGGCACCCAGUGUCUGGUGGUAAUAGCCUCUCUGUGGCACGCAGAGAGCAGCCACAUAUUAAUGAAUGCUGCCAUUUGCUUGCACAAGCAGCUUCUGAGGGUCUAUCAAAGCAAAUUGCUUUAUCUGGAAUGAACAUGACCCCAUCAAUGACAGGGUUUCGUAAACAAGCCAUUAUCCAUCUAAGGCAUAAUUACAUUGUUAAUGUCAGUAUGUUGCGGGGCGUUACGAGCGCCGUCUAGACAGCUACCUGGGCUAAUUGAAAAGCGCAUCAUACGUUUAGGAUGUGAGCUGGAGGGCGGAGAGGCUGCACGGCCCCGUGUCUUUGUAUAAAUUGAAAUUCAACGGUCCAAACAAUCAAAGGGCUCAGGCGGUACAGGGGGGUCAGCGAUGGGCAACACAGCCGAACAGAGCAGAACAGAGCAGCUGGAUUGGAGCGAUGGGCCCGGAGGCUGAAGCCGUAAUAACAGGUUAAUAACAGGUGAGAAGUGGGCGUGGAAGACCAGGCGAGUGCCCCGGCGGGAGGCUGGAGUAGCUCAGAUGAAGGAUGAAGAAAUGUGUAAAUAAUACAUGAGUGUUUGAUUUUUUUAAUGCUUUUAUUCAUUGUGAGACGUGGAAGGCGCUCGUGUGGAGGCGGCCAUAAAGAACCAGACGAGGACCAGCUCAGCUGCCUCCAGGGAGCCGUCCAUUGCCGAUUUCUCCAUCCGGUUUAAUUGGGAGAAGCUCUGGAGAGGCUACACGACUUGCCUGGCGUGGGAACGCCUUGAGAUUCCCCCGAGGAGAGAGCGCAAAGCAUCUGGACCCCACUGCUCAACCUGCUGCUAGCACCACCACUCAGCUCCGAGAAACUCGCCAGAUGGAUGCUUUUAUUGUGAAGCACCCUGCAACUUUUGUUGUGAAGAGCCUGGUAUAUGCUCAUAACAGCAAAAUUGAUCACUUUAAUCCUGUGGCUCACAAUAAAUCAAUAUUGACUUAAGCGUGUGAGGAGAAAACAUGGAUUCUUCAUUAAUCCCAGCAAAUCACCUGAUGCUGUCGGAGCGGCACCGGAUACAGGAUUCGCUCAGGACCCUUCGUGAGGCAGACGCAUCGGAGUGAGCAGCGCUGCACAUGAGGACAUGUCACCGAGGCAGGAUCCAUAGCAACGCAGGCGGCUGAAUCCAGGCAGAGGACGACAUCAUGUACAAAUGUGAUAAAUGCUGUGAAGCAGAAAACCCUCUUGCUGUCUUUAUCCAGCGCUCUCCAUUAAGGCGAUUUGCUAAGGUACUGUACGCCCCAUUUGGAGCCGGCGCCGCUGCUCAUCCAGAUGCUCACCUCCAGCCAGCGCGGCAGGAUGAACGGGUGACUCACCACGUCACCGCGCAGGUGCUUCUGACGGCGUGGCAGCCAUGUGCGGACGCGUCGCCACCAAUUACAUGUUCCCAGUGUCAGACGCUGGUUCGCGCCGGCUGCCGCUGCUGUGGAUGCUGAGCGGCCUAAUCAUGCUGAGAAUGUUCAGACGAGGCAGAGGAAAGAUGGUGUUUGUUGGUGUUUACACAUUCCACAAUGUGGGAAGAGGCCCAUUUUUACCCUCAAAUGUUCGGAAUUAAUAAUUGCCUGUUUGUUUCUCACUUUCUUUGCUGUGCACUUAGAUGGAUGGACGAUGAAAUUAUUACUGCGACGUAAUCGGUUGUCCGUGACCCAUGUUUUGGUGUCUUUGUUGCCCAUUAAAGUAAUUUUCCGACUCUCCAAUUAGCCUUUAGCCUUUUGGAGCCAUUUCUGUAUCUUUUUUUUCCUUUUCAGGUAUAAUUUCACACUUUUCCUUGGGCGUGCUGUGUUUAACACGCGUCCUGGUGUCGAGUCUCGUUCCAACAAUCCCUGAUUACGUUUUCACCAUCAAAGACCGCUCGACUUCACAGAAUGAACACACAACAUCAUUACAACUAUUCAUUCACCGCGCAUCGAGUUCCAUUGACUCGGCGGUGAAAUUAACACGAUACCCUGGCACGCGAGCAGCGGCGUUUAUUGUACGAGCGAGAGCAAAACACAACGUCUAUAUAAAGAACGGCACGAAAGAGGAAUGGCUUACAAGCAGCGGAGAACAAAGAUUAUGGGUCAGAAGCCAGAAUCCGAGCAGGCAAUUAAAAACCCGCGUAUGCAAAGAAUGUUGCCUGAUGUUGUCUGUGGGAAAUGAGGAGGGAAGCGUGCACACGCUGCCUUUGUGUUCUAAACAAAGUGAUAAUACCCUGGUUGUGCUUCACCUGCAUUUAAUGUCUGUGCAAGCAGCCAGAUAUGCUAAUGUGACGCGUAUGUGAGGAGUAUGAACAAUUGUUCAGCCAAGCCCUUCCUCCCUCGGGGGCAGCGCGCCGUGUAGCGCUGUUCGACUUCCCAGCUUUCGCACACAGUCCUGCAGCCGCCGUGCAGCCAGCAAUCUGAAGUAGUGGGUAAUUAAAUGCAAAACGGGAUUAGCACAGUGCACUCCACUCGCUGUUUACAUGUGCUUCCAACAACACGAUACGGGCCGGCUAAAGCCAGGGAUAAAGGCGGCUGCUGUGGAUCGCUGUGGCGUAGAUUACACCAGAUUAGGAGAAACACAAGUUCUGGCAAAUAAUCGCGGCCCGCUGCUUUUCCGAUGGGGCCUUUUGUCACCAUUGUGUCUGGUGAAACCCCACCGACCAGCUGUUUGCUCCGACAAGAGGCGACGGCAGUAAUGGAAGGUCACUUUUGUGCUUAGGCUGCACUAUCACAGCUGGAGCCCGUUGUGUUCCCAGCAAACAGCUCACAGCACACUGGCUCCGAGCGUCUUUUAUUUCUUCUUUCUCAACCGGCUCUAAAUAACCUUCAUAUGCAGCCGAUGAGGACGAGGCUCAUUUUAACUUAGCAUGAAAUUCCAUUAGUACGAACCUAUUUCUUGCGCAGUGGUACAUCAAAGACAAGCGCUUCUUGUGGUACAGUAGAUGGAAGUGAUUAGAGCUCAGGCUUGAUGUCGCCUUUCACCAAGGUUAACAACCCAAAUGAAAGGUAGCUUCAACUUGAUUAGAUUCCAGCGGAACUGGGCCACUUUGUGAAAUUCCUGUCUUUGUUGGAAUAAUUUACUGCACGCUCGGUUCCUAAAACACUCGAAGGCGGAGAUGUUCUCAGCCUUAACAGUGGCCUGAGAUCCACGUCCUCUGGUUCUUUUUGCUAUUUCAUAUAAUUAUUAGUCCAGCGGGUCCUGCUUUUCGAAGCAUGUUACCUUGACGUGAAUAUCUAGAAAGCAAGGUCCGGUUGGUUUCACCAUCAGGUGCUUGAUAAGUUCUGUUACAGAUGUCACUUUCUGUCUGUUUUUCAUGUGUUCUGUACUCUGGUCAAUGGUCGAUAAUCUUUGUUGCCACUCUGUGUUGUUUGUGUACUUUU